Molecule: ribosomal RNA, 538 nt
Filed under: uncultured bacterium
Lineage: Bacteria
Description: bacterial SSU rRNA
Rfam family: Bacterial small subunit ribosomal RNA
Source: RNAcentral
CCCUUGGCCUUGACAUACUAAGAACUUUCCAGAGAUGGAUUGGUGCCUUCGGGAACUUAGAUACAGGUGCUGCAUGGCUGUCGUCAGCUCGUGUCGUGAGAUGUUGGGUUAAGUCCGCAACGAGCGCAACCCUUUUCCUUAUUUGCCAGCGGGUAAUGCCGGGAACUUUAAGGAUACUGCCAGUGACAAACUGGAGGAAGGCGGGGACGACGUCAAGUCAUCAUGGCCCUUACGGCCAGGGCUACACACGUGCUACAAUGGUCGGUACAAAGGGUUGCUACCUCGCGAGAGGAUGCUAAUCUCAAAAAGCCGAUCGUAGUCCGGAUCGCAGUCUGCAACUCGACUGCGUGAAGUCGGAAUCGCUAGUAAUCGCGGAUCAGAAUGCCGCGGUGAAUACGUUCCCGGGCCUUGUACACACCGCCCGUCACACCAUGGGAGUUUGUUGCACCAGAAGUAGGUAGUCUAACCGCAAGGAGGACGCUUACCACGGUGUGGCCGAUGACUGGGGUGGAAGUCGUAACAAGGUAAGCGUAGAUGA